CUACGUGCCAGCAGCCGCGGUAAUACGGAAGGUCCGGGCGUUAUCCGGAUUUAUUGGGUUUAAAGGGAGCGUAGGCCGGAGAUUAAGUGUGUUGUGAAAUGUAGACGCUCAACGUCUGACUUGCAGCGCAUACUGGUUUCCUUGAGUACGCACAACGUUGGCGGAAUUCGUCGUGUAGCGGUGAAAUGCUUAGAUAUGACGAAGAACUCCGAUUGCGAAGGCAGCUGACGGGAGCGCAACUGACGCUUAAGCUCGAAGGUGCGGGUAUCGAACAGGAUUAGAUACCCUGGUAGUCCACGCGGUAAACGAUGGAUGCUCGUUGUCGGCCCUUAGGGUCGGUGACCAAGCGAAAGCGUUAAGCAUCCCACCUGGGGAGUACGCCGGCAACGGUGAAACUCAAAGGAAUUGACGGGGGCCCGCACAAGCGGAGGAGCAUGUGGUUUAAUUCGAUGCAACGCGAAGAACCUUACCUACUCUUGAC
Molecule: ribosomal RNA, 481 nt
Filed under: uncultured bacterium
Lineage: Bacteria
Description: bacterial SSU rRNA
Rfam family: Bacterial small subunit ribosomal RNA
Source: RNAcentral